UUGUAGAUAGGGCUUCUAGAAAGCCCAAAACCAAGAGAAAAUAGACCCAACCCACGGCAAGAAGGAGGAAAAUGUUCUAGAACCAUUCUUCGUGUCCUCCAACGCUUCGGAACCUUCCAAUGUUGCUAAAACGCAAAGGCCAUUUAAGUUUAGGAAAGAUCAACCCAAAAUGGAAACUUUUAGGCUUAGCUUUCCUACUUCCAGUAGGAAACCUUGUUUGAGUAGGAAUCUUCGUUCUUCUCGGAAUCCAUCUUCAACUAGGAAUCCCUCGUUGAUUAGGAAUCCUUCGUCAAUUAGGACUCUUCGGACUAGGAAUCCUUCUCGACUAGGAAUCCUCAAAAUUUCAAAUCUUCAAAUUUCAUCCCACCUUGUGUUCCAAGCAUGUACUUUUCACACCAAGCUCCAUUAGGCUCUAAAAACUCCAAUUUGCCAUCUUUUAUGUCAUAUGCCCUUUGAACCUGAAAACACAUGAAAGUAGCUCAAAAGACUUCUUUUUUUAUACGAAUUUUCUUUCUUUUUUUUUUUCUUUUUUCUUAUUUUUUUUUUUCUCAUGCCUCAAAAGAGACUUUGGCACAUCCACCUAUCAAAAAUCACUCCCCCACACUUGUCUUCUGCACACCCUCAAUCAAAAGGAAUUCAUUUUAAGUCAUGCUUACUAUGCUUCAAGAACAAGGGUAUGGAUGGUCCUAAUCUAGGCUAGGUAAGGAUAAUGUGGGUUAACAAACAAUAUAGGCUAAAUAAGGCUCAACGGGGUUAAACUACAAAAACAUGUAUGGAAUGAAGCUUUUUGGAUAUGGUGGCAACUACAACAAUUUUCUCGAAUAUGUGUUAUGCAAUUCAUGAAAUUUUUGAAUGAAUUGGCAUGAGUUCUAGCAUUUGGAACUAAAGUGAUGAAACCUUCUAAGUAAUAACCAAGCAAAGAAUAAUGAGAUCAUGCAACGACUUUAGAAAACAAGAAUGCACAGAUUUUAACUCUCCCAAAUAAGUUAGGCUCAAGUCCUCAGGGUUGUAACUUUAGUUUGAGUUUCUUCCUUCAAGCAUGUCACAAAACUGAUUUUUUUCCUUUUUUGAUUACAUGUGAAUUCAUAAGUUAUAACUACAAUAAGCAUAACCAAGAGUAAAUCAAACUUCAUCCAUGUUUAUAAAUCUCUUCAAUAGUCAUGCAAUUAAAACCGAAUCCUCAUCAUUGUGUUGGAAGGUACCCUAAGACACAAACAAACACACAAAAACAACUUACAAACGACUCUUUUUUGGGUUUUUUAAAACAAUUUUCAAAUUUUAUGGAUUUUCGGAUUUUGAAUCAAAACACAUAAAAAACCAAAACAGCCUAAAAACAUAAAAACAGCAGAAACAAACAUUGGAAUUAUGAGUGAGAAAACCUUCAAAUUUGCAUAAAACGCUUUGGUUCCCCACACUUAAACCAACAUGUCCUCAAAUGUUUCAAGCAUAGACUCACACAAAAAUACAUAAACAACAAACCAAUACUAACAAACUAAACAUGGCAGAAACGAAAGAAACAACAAAGAGAAGGGUUUAGAAACGCAAAUCUGGAAUUGGAGUGCCUCUAGGUCUUCCUCUGUCAAAUGCAUGGGUUGCCUCCAUGAAGCGCUUGCUUUAACGUCUUCCAGCCGGACGGUACCAUCCGUUUAAGCUUGACUAUGUGCCACGGCAAUGGAGGGGUACCUCCUCCACGACAUGCCUCAAACAUCUCGUAAUAGGGCUUCAAUCGAUGCCCAUUCACUUUGAAUUCUUGUUGCGUCCUUGCACUCUUGAUUUGCACUGCACCAUGAGGGAAAACAUUAGUUACAAUAAAGGACAACCCAUUUGAACGCAACUUCCCGGAAACAACUGAAGGCGAGAAUUGAACAACAACACUUUCUGCCCAAUAGAGAACGUCUUGGCACGAAUCAUCUUGUCAUGGAUGCCUUCGUUUUCUCCAUUGUAAAUCCGGGCAUUCUCAUUUGCUUCAUUUCGGAUUUCCUCAGCCACACAUUGGAGCUUCUAUGUAAACCUGCGGCAUCAAGGUCCAUGUUAAAGUUUUGAGGCCCAGUGUGCACGAUGCUCUAACUCGAGGGAAGAUGGCAUGGCUUCCAUAGAUGAGCGAAAAGGUGACAUCCUAAUGGGGGGUUUUUGUAGGCAGUGCGAUACCCCAAAUGCAUUGUUUAAGCGCAAACUCCAAUCCUCCUUGUAGGCCCCACGGUCUUCUCAAGAAUUUGCUUGAUUUCCCUAUUCGAAAACCUCGGCUUGCCCGCUCGUUGAGGAUGAUAAGGUGUGGCACCUUAUGCGUGACAUUGUAUUUCUUGAACGCCCGAUGGUUCGAUUAACAAAAAUGGGAACUCAUCACUGAUGAGCACUCGUGGCAUCCGAACUUGCAAAAAUGUUAGUUUUCACAAAAUCUGCAACCACUCGAGAAUCAUUAGUUCGGGUGGCUUUUGCCUUCCCCACUUCGACACUAAUCCACAGCAAGUAAUAUAAAAGAAAUCAUGUGACGAAGGAAAGGGACCCAUAAAAUAAUACCCCAAACAUCAAAUAUUUCAACACUAAAAAUGGGGUUUGCGGCAUUUGUUGUUUAGGAAUAUAUUGCCGUUCUUUGGCAUCUAUCACAAGACAUGCAAAAUGUUCUAAGCAUCCCUAAAGAUGGUAGGCCAUAGAAACCACAUUCUAAUACCUUAAGUGUUGUUCUAUUAGUGCAAAGUGUCCCCCACAAGCAAAAGUGUGACAAAAUGUUAGAAUAACAUUAAACUCAGAAUCGUGCACACACCUACGUAUAACUGGUCAGGGCAAUAUUUCCAUAAAUACGGGUCAUCCCACACAUAAACGUGCCUCUUUCUCAAUUUAUCACCUUGGUGUUUAAGUAAUUCACUAGGAACAUGUUUAGACACCAAAUAAUUCACCAAUCAGCAUACCAUGGUUCAUUACUUGAUGGACAUCAGUUGCUCAUUGGGAAUGUCUUAUGAUAGGCACGGCAUCCUCCUCAUGUACAUACGGCUCAAGUGGUCAGCCACCACGUUUUCACUUCCCUUCUUGUCCGGAUUUGAUAUUGAACUCUUGGAGAGAAGCAUCCAACGAAUGAGUCGUGGUUUGGCCUCCUUCUUGUGAACAAAUACUUCAAAUGCUGCAUGGUCAGUAUAAAUAAUAACUUUAGUACCAAGCAAAUAAGAACGGAAUUUAUCUAAAGCAAAUACAACAGCUAGAAGUUCUUUUUCAGUGGUGGAAUAAUUCAAUUUGUGCAUCAUUUAAAGUCCGAGAGGCAUAAUAGAUAGCAUGCGGCCUCUUGUCCUUCUUUGCCCCAAAACAGCUCCUAAUGCAUAAUCGGAAGCGUCGACAUAAGCUCAAAAGGAAGGCUCCAAUCCGGUGGAACUAUGAUAGGGCCGAAGUUAGCAUGUCCUUUAGGUGAUUGAACGCCUUCUCACACUCCUUGUUUGAAGUCAAACGCCACAUCUUUCUGGAGGAGACGGCAAAGAGGGUUUGAGAUCUUGGAGAAGUCCUUGAUAAAUCGCCUAUAAAAUCCUGCAUGACCAAAAACGAACGAACCUAUCGAACCGAAGUAGGAGAGGGUAUAGCGUACAAGAUCUAUUUUCGAUUUAUCCACUUCAAUUCCUCUUUCUAAAAACAAUAUGCCCUAGAACUAUGCCUUGUCUAACCAUAAGUGACAUUUUCGCACAAUUUAAAUUAAAUCUAACUAAAAAGAAAUUGUUACAUGUCUAACAUAAUUGAAAACAAUUUAAAUUAAAAUGAAAACAGAAACAAAGAAAGAAGAACUCCAAACACUCACUAAUGGCAGAUUGCAUGUGCAAACUUCUCCUCCUUUGGACUGCACGCAAUUCCUCCUCCAAUGGUGGCUGCACAAGGUGGUGAUGGUGUGGAAGGCACGGCAAGGGUGGAUGUGGCAGAAAUUGGGAAGUUGGGGGUGGAAGGUUGCGGCAGGGGAUGGAACUAAGGUUUUGGCGUGAAUGAAUGAUAUGGGGGUGAUAGAUUCGGCCAAGAGGUUUAAAAAAGUAUAUAUAGGCACUUAAAAACCUAGCAAUCAGAUUAGGGUUUCUAGAAACCCAAAUCCACCAGAAAAAAGGUUAAAACAAUCAGAAAUUGAUGGGAAAAGGCUAGGGUGCGGCAGGUUUGGUGGGCUAGGUUAAGGCUUCUAAAAAGCUGCAAGGCAAGGAAAUCAGAAUACUUUUGAGGCCUAGGUGCGGCAAAGGGUUAGGGUUUGUAGAUAGGGCCUUCUAGAAAGCCCAAAACAAGAGAAAAUAGACCAACCACGGCAAGAAGGAGGAAAAUGUUCUAGAACCAUUCUCGUGUCUUCAACCUUCGGAAACCUUCCAAUGUUGUAAAACGCAAGGCCAUUUAAGUUUUAGGAAAGAUAACCAAAAUGGAAACUUUUUAGGCUUAGCUUUCCUACUUCCAGUAGGAAACCUCGUUUGAGUAGGAAUCUUCGUUCUUCUCGGAAUCCAUCUUCA
RNAcentral lists this long non-coding RNA (4454 nucleotides) under Malus domestica (apple). RNAcentral describes it as "long non-coding RNA (MDOM_LNC020215)". The record is from RNAcentral. Lineage: Eukaryota; Viridiplantae; Streptophyta; Magnoliopsida; Rosales; Rosaceae.